ACUAACCAAAUAAAGUGAGAAACAACAAAGACGCCGAAAACAAAGUAAAUGACAAAGAUGUCGGGAACACAAAAGAAAUCAUUUAUUCUUUCAUGGACCCUUCUUGAAGUCAAAGCCGUAGCUGCUGGAAGUUACAGUCUGAUUAUACCUAUUGUAUAUCGAACAAAGCAAAAUAAAAAUAUUACUAUUGUUAUUUGAUGUGCAAAGUUUCGGCGCGUAAAUUAUAGAUGACAUUUCUUAUUAUUAGAUCGAACAUUAGAUCGGAAUAGGGCUGUACAUGAAUAAGUGACUUCUUAUCCUUCGAAAAAAUGACUUGCGUAAAUGCCACUAUAGUGGCGUACGUUUCAAAAAGAUAACAUGCGAAAGCCAUUAUAAAGGCAAUUAAUAGCUAAAAGGUUAAAAGAUCAUAUGCGAUAUGUACGGCGUAGAACGAACUAGUUGCGAGAAUGUUUUCACGUGAGCGUAGACGAAGCUGUGUUUAUUUGGUUAGAAUAACGAUUAACCAUUGUCACGGAAAAAUCACAAAAAAUGCCCAAAGUGGCUAAGCCACCUAAGCAGAAAAUGUAAAAUCCCCAUAAAUUGGCUGAUUAUCAAUAUGGAAAAUGAAAUAUCUAUGACGACAUUAUGUGUAAGAAUCAUAUGGUUAUAACAAAUCUGAUGAAAUAUGCCCGAUGGGAAGAAAGUCAGAAACAAUGCAGAGAGUAAGGUACUUUAAGUACAAAAAAUAGUACAUUUUAUAAUAGUACAUUUAUUCUUAGUUGUAUUAGAAAUAUUUCAAGUUUUUAUAUGUCUAAUUUAUUUUAAAUUUGUAUAUGAACGUGCGCUAGAUGUUGAUCAUAGAUACAUUACAUUAUGGUUAUAUUAUAUUGAAAUAGAAAUGCACAAUAAGUAAAUAAAUUAAUUUUGAUACAAAUACACAUAUAUGGAAAAUAUUAUUGUUAAGAUUUGAUAUAAAAUUAGGGAUUAUUUUUUAUUAUGUAAAUUGAUUUUGUAAAGGUAUAUUAUAGAAACACGUCAAGUUUUUGAGCGAUAGGUGGAAUGAGAACCUGACUAAUAGGCAUGGCAAACAUAUAUUAAAUUUGAAUUACGAUAUAAAGAAAUACAAAGAGCCAGGUAGAGAUAUAUAAUUGUGUAGGGAGAUAUAUAGUUUUGUAAUAAAUGUAGGACGCAAAGUUUAUGAAGAUAUAAACUUUUUCGGAGAUGAGAGCUUAGAUGAAAAACUAUUUAUAGCAUUUGCAAGAUUUGAAGAAGGACAAAAAGAAGUAUUAUUUUAAGAUAACAAUAUAUUCAGUAUCUCUGUUAUAAUAAGUAUAAUUUUAAUAUUUCUCUGAUAGCAUGAUAGAGCAAAAAUAAUUUCUAAGUAUGCUUUAGACAAUAUUUCAAAAGAAAAACAUAAUACUUGGUUUGACUAUCUGAGAUUAGUAAAAUCUGAAGAAAAUCUAAAAGAAUUAGAAACUUUAUUAGGAGACUUUGACCGUCCUAGAACUAUUUAUGAAUUAGGUGUGUCUUAGACGAAUUAAGUUAUAUUUUUAGAAAUUACUAC
Long non-coding RNA from Vespa crabro (European hornet), 1543 nucleotides. RefSeq lists it as uncharacterized. Lineage: Eukaryota; Metazoa; Arthropoda; Insecta; Hymenoptera; Vespidae. The transcript is spliced from 3 exons. The record is from RefSeq and is a predicted model, not a curated record.